GUUUGAAUGAUGACUUAAAUUGUCGGAUACCCCUUCACUCCCCUUAUGAGUGAAACAUAACAGUCUGACAAAC
Microcebus murinus (gray mouse lemur) is the source of this 73-nucleotide small nucleolar RNA. Ensembl annotates it as small nucleolar RNA, C/D box 101. Its record names the gene SNORD101. The record is from Ensembl. Lineage: Eukaryota; Metazoa; Chordata; Mammalia; Primates; Cheirogaleidae.